AUGCAAGUCGAGCGGAUGAAGGGAGCUUGCUCCUGGAUUCAGCGGCGGACGGGUGAGUAAUGCCUAGGAAUCUGCCUGGUAGUGGGGGAUAACGUUCCGAAAGGAACGCUAAUACCGCAUACGUCCUACGGGAGAAAGCAGGGGACCUUCGGGCCUUGCGCUAUCAGAUGAGCCUAGGUCGGAUUAGCUAGUUGGUGAGGUAAUGGCUCACCAAGGCGACGAUCCGUAACUGGUCUGAGAGGAUGAUCAGUCACACUGGAACUGAGACACGGUCCAGACUCCUACGGGAGGCAGCAGUGGGGAAUAUUGGACAAUGGGCGAAAGCCUGAUCCAGCCAUGCCGCGUGUGUGAAGAAGGUCUUCGGAUUGUAAAGCACUUUAAGUUGGGAGGAAGGGCUGUAGGCUAAUAUCCUGCGGUUUUGACGUUACCAACAGAAUAAGCACCGGCUAACUUCGUGCCAGCAGCCGCGGUAAUACGAAGGGUGCAAGCGUUAAUCGGAAUUACUGGGCGUAAAGCGCGCGUAGGUGGUUCGUUAAGUUGGAUGUGAAAGCCCCGGGCUCAACCUGGGAACUGCAUCCAAAACUGGCGAGCUAGAGUACGGUAGAGGGUAGUGGAAUUUCCUGUGUAGCGGUGAAAUGCGUAGAUAUAGGAAGGAACACCAGUGGCGAAGGCGACUACCUGGACUGAUACUGACACUGAGGUGCGAAAGCGUGGGGAGCAAACAGGAUUAGAUACCCUGGUAGUCCACGCCGUAAACGAUGUCAACUAGCCGUUGGAAUCCUUGAGAUUUUAGUGGCGCAGCUAACGCAUUAAGUUGACCGCCUGGGGAGUACGGCCGCAAGGUUAAAACUCAAAUGAAUUGACGGGGCCCGCACAAGCGGUGAGCAUGUGUUAAUUCGAAGCAACGCGAGAACCUUACUGGCCUUGACAUGCUGAAGAACUUUCCAGAGAUGAUUGGUGCCUUCGGGACUCAGACCCAGUGCUGCAUGCUGUCGUCAGCUCGUGUCUGAAAUGUUGGGU
Molecule: ribosomal RNA, 1020 nt
Filed under: bacterium DZY-HS11
Lineage: Bacteria
Description: bacterial SSU rRNA
Rfam family: Bacterial small subunit ribosomal RNA
Source: RNAcentral